Molecule: small RNA, 144 nt
Filed under: Staphylococcus lugdunensis
Lineage: Bacteria; Bacillati; Bacillota; Bacilli; Caryophanales; Staphylococcaceae
Description: Ribosomal protein L10 leader
Rfam family: Ribosomal protein L10 leader
About the family: This family is a putative r-protein leader autoregulatory structure found in B. subtilis and other low-GC Gram-positive bacteria. It is located in the 5' untranslated regions of mRNAs encoding ribosomal proteins L10 and L12 (rplJ-rplL). A Rho-independent transcription terminator structure that is probably involved in regulation is included at the 3' end.
Source: RNAcentral
UAUUGUGAUUAUUUUACCUAAGACAGUAGGAGUUAAUUAUAACUUAAAAAUCAAUCCUACCGAGGCUAAAAUUGACUUGAACGUGAUGAUUAAUUGAUCUUUCAAGCACUUUUUGCCGUGGGUAGAAAGUGCUUUUUUUAUUGC